RNAcentral lists this ribosomal RNA (297 nucleotides) under Enterococcus faecium. RNAcentral describes it as "partial 16S ribosomal RNA". It matches the Rfam family "Bacterial small subunit ribosomal RNA", at positions 928 to 1226 of the family's 1533-position model. The record is from RNAcentral. Lineage: Bacteria; Bacillati; Bacillota; Bacilli; Lactobacillales; Enterococcaceae.
AGCGGUGGAGCAUGUGGUUUAAUUCGAAGCAACGCGAAGAACCUUACCAGGUCUUGACAUCCUUUGACCACUCUAGAGAUAGAGCUUCCCCUUCGGGGGCAAAGUGACAGGUGGUGCAUGGUUGUCGUCAGCUCGUGUCGUGAGAUGUUGGGUUAAGUCCCGCAACGAGCGCAACCCUUAUUGUUAGUUGCCAUCAUUCAGUUGGGCACUCUAGCAAGACUGCCGGUGACAAACCGGAGGAAGGUGGGGAUGACGUCAAAUCAUCAUGCCCCUUAUGACCUGGGCUACACACGUGCU